UGACAUCAAGCGAGAUUGAAUUAUUUAUUGAUAACUGUGUUAAAUUUUAUUAAAAAAAUUAUUUGAUAGUUGAUGUUAGUACUUAACCUUUCUAUUUUUAACAUUAAAAGAUAGAUUAAACUACAAAAUACUAUUCAGUGAUUGAUUUUUAAACAUGGAUAACCUCUCUAUUUGGAACGUUUCAGUAAUAAUUUGAUGAAAAGUAUGCCAG
RNAcentral lists this long non-coding RNA (211 nucleotides) under Polistes dominula (European paper wasp). RNAcentral describes it as "uncharacterized LOC107066563, transcript variant X1". Lineage: Eukaryota; Metazoa; Arthropoda; Insecta; Hymenoptera; Vespidae. The record is from RNAcentral.